GCGUACGAUUAGAUAGUUGGUGAGGUAAUGGCUCACCAAGUCCCACGAUCGUUAACUGGUCUGAGAGGAUGAUCAGUCAGACUGGAACUGAGACACGGUCCAGACUCCUACGGGAGGCAGCAGUGAGGAAUCUUCCACAAUGGGCGAAAGCCUGAUGGAGCAUGCCGCGUGCAGGAUGAAGGCCUUAGGGUUGUAAAGCUCUUUCAGUGGGGACGAUAAUGACGGUACCCGCAGAAUAAGCCCCGGCUAACUCCGUGCCAGCAGCCGCGGUAAU
RNAcentral lists this ribosomal RNA (274 nucleotides) under Aeromonas salmonicida subsp. salmonicida 01-B526. RNAcentral's name for it is "partial 16S ribosomal RNA". It matches the Rfam family "Bacterial small subunit ribosomal RNA", at positions 233 to 524 of the family's 1533-position model. The record is from RNAcentral. Lineage: Bacteria; Pseudomonadati; Pseudomonadota; Gammaproteobacteria; Aeromonadales; Aeromonadaceae.